UGGGGAAUAUUGGGCAAUGGGGGAAACCCUGACCCAGCAACGCCGCGUGAGCGAAGAAGGUUUUCGGAUUGUAAAGCUCUGUCCUGUGGGAAGAAUAAAUGACGGUACCACAGGAGGAAGCCCCGGCUAACUACGUGCCAGCAGCCGCGGUAAUACGUAGGGGGCGAGCGUUGUCCGGAAUUAUUGGGCGUAAAGGGUGCGUAGGCGGUUGUAUAAGUCUCAUGUGAAAUAUCCGAGCUUAACUCGGAGGUUGCAUGGGAAACUGUAUAACUUGAGUACAGGAGAGGUAAGCGGAAUUCCUAGUGUAGCGGUGAAAUGCGUAGAUAUUAGGAGGAACACCAGUGGCGAAGGCGGCUUACUGGACUGAAACUGACGCUGAGGCACGAAAGCGUGGGGAGCAAACA
This 404-nucleotide ribosomal RNA is filed under the name uncultured Eubacteriales bacterium. Its description in RNAcentral is "uncultured Clostridiales bacterium partial 16S ribosomal RNA". It matches the Rfam family "Bacterial small subunit ribosomal RNA", at positions 355 to 774 of the family's 1533-position model. Lineage: Bacteria; Bacillati; Bacillota; Clostridia; Eubacteriales. The record is from RNAcentral.